This 309-nucleotide small nuclear RNA is filed under the name Erinaceus europaeus (western European hedgehog). RNAcentral's name for it is "7SK RNA". It matches the Rfam family "7SK RNA". Rfam says of the family: 7SK was discovered as an abundant small nuclear RNA in the mid-70s but a possible function has only recently been suggested. Two independent studies have found that 7SK RNA binds the CDK9/cyclin T complex (known as elongation factor P-TEFb). P-TEFb activates transcription by phosphorylating the C-terminal domain of RNA polymerase II. The record is from Rfam by way of RNAcentral. Lineage: Eukaryota; Metazoa; Chordata; Mammalia; Eulipotyphla; Erinaceidae.
AGAUAUGGGAGGGUGAUCUGCUCUGUAACAUCUGUCACCCCAUUGAUUGCUAGGUUUGAUUUGGCUGAUAUGGCUGGCUAGACAGGUGUCCCCUUCCUCCCUCACCACUCCAUGUGCCUCCCUCCCAAAGUUUUGUGCUGGAUCGAAGAGGAUGGCCUUCUCCAAAAAGAGAUGGACCGGUAUUUGGUCAAGGGUAUAGGAGUAGCUGUGCUCCCCUGCUAGAACCUUCAAACAAGCUCUCAAGAUAAGACUAUAGAUAGAUAGAUACAUAGAUAGAUACAUAGAUAUGACAGACAUAUUUCAUCUUUU